CCUACGGGAGGCAGCAGUGGGGAAUAUUGCACAAUGGGGGAAACCCUGAUGCAGCGAAGCCGCGUGAGUGAAGAAGUAUUUCCGUAUGUUAAGCUCUAUCAGCAGGGAAGAAAAUGACGGUACCUGAUCAAGAAGCCACGGCUCACUACGUGCCAGCAGCCGCGGUAAUACGUAGGGGGCACGCGUUAUCCGGAUUUACUGGGGGGAAAGGGAGCGUAGACGGGAGGGCAAGUCUGAAGUGAAAUGUCGGGGCUUAACCCCGGAACUGCUUUGGAAACUGUGCAGCUAGAGUGCAGGAGAGGUAAGUGGAAUUCCUGGUGUAGCGGUGAAAUGCGUAGAUAUUAGGAGGAACACCAGUGGCGAAGGCGGCUUACUGGACUGUAACUGACGUUGAGGCUCGAAAGCGUGGGGAUCAAACAGGAUUAGAUACCCGUGUAGUC
Molecule: ribosomal RNA, 440 nt
Filed under: uncultured bacterium
Lineage: Bacteria
Description: partial 16S ribosomal RNA
Rfam family: Bacterial small subunit ribosomal RNA
Source: RNAcentral